GACGAACGCUGGCGGCGUGCUUAACACAUGCAAGUCGAGCGGAAAGGCCCUUUCGGGGGUACUCGAGCGGCGAACGGGUGAGUAACACGUGAGUAAUCUGCCCUUGGCUUUGGGAUAACCACCGGAAACGGUGGCUAAUACCGGAUAUGACGCGCUCCGGCAGCGGGGUGGGUGGAAAGUUUUUUCGGCCAGGGAUGUGCUCGCGGCCUAUCAGCUUGUUGGUGGGGUAAUGGCCUACCAAGGCUUCGACGGGUAGCCGGCCUGAGAGGGUGACCAGCCACACUGGGACUGAGACACGGCCCAGACUCCUACGGGAGGCAGCAGUGGGGAAUAUUGGACAAUGGGCGGAAGCCUGAUCCAGUAACGCCGCGUGAGGGAUGACGGCCUUCGGGUUGUAAACCUCUUUCAGUACCGACGAAGCGCCGAUGAUGGUGGUGACGGUAGGUACAGAAGAAGCACCGGCCAACUACGUGCCAGCCGCCGCGGUAA
This 489-nucleotide ribosomal RNA is filed under the name uncultured bacterium. RNAcentral describes it as "partial 16S ribosomal RNA". It matches the Rfam family "Bacterial small subunit ribosomal RNA", at positions 28 to 523 of the family's 1533-position model. The record is from RNAcentral.